CCGUAAACCAUUGUGAACGUUACCUUAUACCGUUGCUUCGGCGGGCGGCCCGGGCCUCACCCGGCGCCCCCCGGCCCCCCGUGGGGCGCCCGCCGGAGGUACACCAAACUCUUGCAUUGUAUGGCCUCUCUGAGUAUUCUGUACUGAAUAAGUCAAAACUUUCAACAACGGAUCUCUUGGUUCUGGCAUCGAUGAAGAACGCAGCGAAAUGCGAUAAGUAAUGUGAAUUGCAGAAUUCAGUGAAUCAUCGAAUCUUUGAACGCACAUUGCGCCCGCCAGUAUUCUGGCGGGCAUGCCUGUUCGAGCGUCAUUUCAACCAUCAAGCCCCGGGCUUGUGUUGGGGACCUGCGGCUGCCGCAGGCCCCGAAAACCAGUGGCGGGCUCGCUGUCACCCCGAGCGUAGUAGUUACACCUCGCCCAGGGCGUGCCGCGGGUUCCGGCCGUUAAACCCCCCAUACCACAAGGUUGACCUCGGAUCAGGUAGGAAGACCCGCUGAACUUAAGCAUAUCAAUAAGCGGAGGAAAAGAAACCAACAGGGAUUGCCCUAGUAACGGCGAGUGAAGCGGCAACAGCUCAAAUUUGAAAUCUGGCCUCGGCCCGAGUUGUAAUUUGCAGAGGAAGCUUUGGGCGCGGCACCGACCGAGUCCCCUGGAACGGGGCGCCAUAGAGGGUGAGAGCCCCGUAUGGUCGGACGCCUAGCCUGUGUAAAGCUCCUUCGACGAGUCGAGUAGUUUGGGAAUGCUGCUCAAAAUGGGAGGUAAAUUUCUUCUAAAGCUAAAUACCGGCCAGA
RNAcentral lists this ribosomal RNA (791 nucleotides) under Staphylotrichum koreanum. RNAcentral describes it as "eukaryotic LSU rRNA". The stretch from base 467 to 791 matches the Rfam family "Eukaryotic large subunit ribosomal RNA", at positions 1 to 331 of the family's 3401-position model. The record is from RNAcentral. Lineage: Eukaryota; Fungi; Ascomycota; Sordariomycetes; Sordariales; Chaetomiaceae.